RNAcentral lists this ribosomal RNA (116 nucleotides) under Escherichia coli. Its description in RNAcentral is "partial 16S ribosomal RNA". It matches the Rfam family "Bacterial small subunit ribosomal RNA", at positions 1 to 106 of the family's 1533-position model. Lineage: Bacteria; Pseudomonadati; Pseudomonadota; Gammaproteobacteria; Enterobacterales; Enterobacteriaceae. The record is from RNAcentral.
UUAAAUUGAAGAGUUUGAUCAUGGCUCAGAUUGAACGCUGGCGGCAGGCCUAACACAUGCAAGUCGAACGGUAACAGGAAAGCAGCUUGCUGCUUUGCUGACGAGUGGCGGACGGG